RNAcentral lists this ribosomal RNA (274 nucleotides) under uncultured bacterium. RNAcentral's name for it is "partial 16S ribosomal RNA". It matches the Rfam family "Bacterial small subunit ribosomal RNA", at positions 523 to 796 of the family's 1533-position model. The record is from RNAcentral.
AUCCAGGGGGUGCGAGCGUUAAUCGGAAUUACUGGGCGUAAAGAGUACGUCGGCGGUUGCUUAAGUCAGAUGUGAAAGCCCCGGGCCCAACCUGGGAACUGCAUUUGAAACUGAGUGACUAGAGUUUAAGAGAGGGGAGUAGAAUUCCGGGUGUAGCGGUGAAAUGCGUAGAGAUCAGGAGGAAUACCAGUGGCGAAGGCGGCUCCCUGGCUUAAAACUGACGCUCAGGUACGAAAGCGUGGGUAGCAAACAGGAUUAGAUACCCUAGUAGUCC